GCAUGCACCCUAGUGACUUUAGUGGACAUCUAAGUCUUCCAACUAAGGCACGCGGUGAAUGCCA
RNAcentral lists this microRNA precursor (64 nucleotides) under Caenorhabditis elegans. RNAcentral describes it as "Cel-Mir-124_pre stem-loop". Lineage: Eukaryota; Metazoa; Nematoda; Chromadorea; Rhabditida; Rhabditidae. The record is from RNAcentral.